GGUGUCUGCUACUCCUGUGAGCAGCAAGUAGCUUUGCCUGGCUUGCUCCUGAUCCCGUUGGUAGGUCUGCUUGCUUGUUACUCCAGCAUCCACCUUUACUUUGGAGACUAUAAAAGUGAACUCCGGUGUGCUCACUCAUCCCCCUGGACCACCUGUCUCCAGUGGCAGAAGCUUGGCAUCAUCAAAGGCUGUGACCUGGUGUCAUCAGCCACCAGCUAUGAAACCCGAAGAACAUCCUUGGGAGAGAGAGGACACCUGCCCCUUUUCGCCACUAUGAAGAGAGUGAUUGUGUGGACUGACAGAGCCUGCAAUCUCUCAGCCACUUACUCAUCUCCUGCUCAUCUCUGUUGGAAACACUACCAGCCAAGGCCAAACAAGCCAAACAGGUGUCAGUGUGCAUUCAGACCCUCCAAGGAUGAGGGUCUCUUCUGUGGUUACCAGAUUGCACUUUGAUGCCGGCCAGCUCCUGGCGUCUGCCGCUGGCCCUCCCAAGAUGGCAGUCUGUGGGGACAUAGUUCAGACACUUGAUCCAGC
This 534-nucleotide long non-coding RNA is filed under the name Cricetulus griseus (Chinese hamster). RNAcentral's name for it is "lncRNA (ENSCGRG00000024151.1)". The record is from RNAcentral. Lineage: Eukaryota; Metazoa; Chordata; Mammalia; Rodentia; Cricetidae.